AUGCAGCCAUGCCGCGUGUAUGAAGAAGGCCUUCGGGUUGUAAAGUACUUUCAGCGAGGAGGAAGGCAUUGWGGUUAAUAACCWCAGUGAUUGACGUUACUCGCAGAAGAAGCACCGGCUAACUCCGUGCCAGCAGCCGCGGUAAUACGGAGGGUGCAAGCGUUAAUCGGAAUUACUGGGCGUAAAGCGCACGCAGGCGGUCUGUCAAGUCGGAUGUGAAAUCCCCGGGCUCAACCUGGGAACUGCAUUCGAAACUGGCAGGCUAGAGUCUUGUAGAGGGGGGUAGAAUUCCAGGUGUAGCGGUGAAAUGCGUAGAGAUCUGGAGGAAUACCGGUGGCGAAGGCGGCCCCCUGGACAAAGACUGACGCUCAGGUGCGAAAGCGUGGGGAGCAAACAGGAUUAGAUACCCUG
This 411-nucleotide ribosomal RNA is filed under the name Buttiauxella warmboldiae. RNAcentral's name for it is "bacterial SSU rRNA". It matches the Rfam family "Bacterial small subunit ribosomal RNA", at positions 386 to 789 of the family's 1533-position model. The record is from RNAcentral. Lineage: Bacteria; Pseudomonadati; Pseudomonadota; Gammaproteobacteria; Enterobacterales; Enterobacteriaceae.